This 367-nucleotide ribosomal RNA is filed under the name uncultured archaeon. RNAcentral's name for it is "bacterial SSU rRNA". It matches the Rfam family "Archaeal small subunit ribosomal RNA", at positions 451 to 818 of the family's 1478-position model. The record is from RNAcentral.
ACUGGUGUCAGCCGCCGCGGUAAUACCAGCUCUCCGAGUGGUAGGGAUGAUUAUUGGGCUUAAAGCGUUCGUAGCCGGCCUGGCAAGUCUCUCGUUAAAUUCAGCGACCUAAUCGUUGAGCCGCGGGAGAUACUACUAGGCUAGGAGGCGGGAGAGGCCGACGGUAUUCUCGGGGUAGGGGUGAAAUCCUAUAAUCCCGGGAGGACCACCAGUGGCGAAGGCUGUCGGCUAGAACGCGCUCGACGGUGAGGGACGAAAGCUGGGGGAGCGAACCGGAUUAGAUACCCGGGUAGUCCCAGCUGUAAACGAUGCGGGCUAGGUGUUGGGGUGGCUACGAGCCACUUCAGUGCCGCAGGGAAGCCAUUAA